RNAcentral lists this long non-coding RNA (5457 nucleotides) under Sus scrofa (pig). RNAcentral's name for it is "lncRNA (ENSSSCG00000053108.1)". The record is from RNAcentral. Lineage: Eukaryota; Metazoa; Chordata; Mammalia; Artiodactyla; Suidae.
UCCCGGGCCAGGGAUCAGAUCCAAGCCACAGCCGUGAACUUAGCCACAGCUUUGGCCACACCAGAUCCUUAACCCACUGUGCUGGGCCAGGGAUCAAACCCAUGUCCCAGCACUCCCAAGACGCUGCUGAUCCUGUUUCUUGACAGUGGGAUCUCUUAGAUAGGUUCUUAUACUUGUGAAAUUUAUAGGGAAAUUAAUUGCCGCCUUAUGCACUGUGGCAUGAUUGGAAGCAAAAGAUGCUCACGUGGAAGAGACUAUUAAAAGUAUUGUCAUACAGCCAAAGAGUGGAAUGUUAUGCUGUUGUCAGAUAGAAAGGAGGGGAGGAAAGGAGGGGAGAGAAGGAGGGAGGGAGAGAGGAAAAGAAGAUGCUGUGGCUCUGGCAUAGGCUGGCAGCUGUUGUGCCGAUUUGACCCCUAGCCUGGGAACUUCCAUAUGCCAUAGGUGCGGCCCUAAAAAGACAAAUAAAUAAGUAAAUGAAUCAUAAAAUAAAGAUAGAGAUGAAGGGAAUUUUGCCAAGGAGAGAAAGAGGAGAAAAUCCCAUCCCUGGCUAAACUCAGGGAAAAAAGAAUUCUCUGGCACUCUUGGCUGGAAUGUAAAUUGGUACAAGUAUUUUGCAGAGUAUGUUGGUUGUAUCUAGUAAAGUUAAAGAUACAAAUGCACAUGACCUGGCCAUUCUUCUUCAAGGCAUUUGAGAAACCCUGACACGUGAGCAGAAGAGAUGUGGGACAGGAUAUUCAUGGGGCAUUAUUUGUUUUUUUUAAUUAAAAAAAAAUAACAAGAAACUCUGCAUGCAAGCUAAUGCCCAUCUCGAGGGAACUGGAUAAACCAAGACCAGGACCUCUUUCUAAUGGGAUACCAUGCAUCAGUGACCUUGUGUGGAUGGAUGUAAAAGCACAAUGUUUCAGUCAAAGAAAGAACUGGCAGAAUUUUUAAACACAAAGCAGGGCUGUAUAUUGUUUAUGGAAAUGAAGCAUAUGAAAUAGAAGUAUGGAGAGACACAUGGGAUUCAAUCUUCUGGAAGAUUUCAAAAUAAGAUUUGGAAGAGAGCAAGCCAUGCCUCGUUCUUGGAUGGGAAAACUUAAUACCAUAAAAAUGUCGGUUCUCCCAUAUUUUUUGCAUAAAUUUAAGUAAUUCAAAUUAGAAUACCAACAGGGUGAUUUCUAAACAAACUAGACAAAAUGAUCUCAAAGAUUAUGUGGCAGAAUAAAUGCCCAAGAAUAACCAAGGAAAAUUGGAAAAUGGGCAACAUGGGGGUUUUGCCUUACCAGAAAUAAGAACAUACUAUAAAGCCACUGUAAUCAAAUCAAUAUGGUAUUGGCAGAGGAAUAGACAAUGGAAAAGAAUGGAGAAUCCAAAAAUAGAUUCCAGUAUACACGAGAACACAAUAUAUGACAAAGGUAGUAUUUCAGUUCAGUGGGAAAAGGGUAGAGUUUGAAUUAAAUGGUGCUGGCACAAGUGAGCAUCCAUCUGGAAGAAAAUAAAAUGGGACCCUGCUUAUAUAUAGCCUAAUACAUUCCAGAUGGAUUAAAAUUUUCUAUAUGAAAAAUAAAUGCCUAACUAUCUUGCAAAAAAACAAUCUCAGAGGCUACAUGUGAAACCUAAACAGAGGAAGUGCCAAGGUCUGAUGGUAGAGGAGCUCAGACAUGUCUGAAAAAGGCAGAAGUUCCACAUGGCUGGGAAGGGAGAGGCCCGGGGUGCCCAGAGCCACCCAAAGCCUGGUCAUGCCCAUGGCCAUCUUUAGGACUUUUGGCCACACCUCUUCACCUUCUGUAUUUUUCAUUCUCUUUAUAAAUUAAAGUGGUUCUAAAGGAUAAUUUUAUAUUGCUGACAAAAUGAUGUGUUCCAUGGACUAAUUUUAUAUUUUCUUCCUUUUCUUUUUUCUUUUUUUCUUUUUUGGUCUUUUUAGGGCUGCACUACAGCACAUGGAAGUUCCCAAGCUAAGGGUCAAAUUGGAACUGCAGCUGCCAGCCACAGCCACAGCCACAACAACACGUGAUCCAAGCCUCAUCUGCCACCUACACCACAACUCACAACGAUGCUGGAUCCUUAACCCACUGAGCAAGGCCAAGGAUCGAACCCGCAUCGUCAUGGACACUAGUCAGGCUCAUUACUGCGGGUCCACAAUGGGGACUCCAAUUUUAUAUUUUCUGAAUCACAUGGAAAUAGACGUAUUGACUAAGAUGGGGAAAAUGGUCUGGAAUUACCUGGUGGGUGGGUUAAAUUUGUCUUUUGGAAGUCACUCUGCCACCUUGUGGCAGGAGGGACUGGAAGAGUAAGUGGCGGUUGGGUAGGCAUGAACAGGCGGGGGGCCAGAGCAAUAAUUCCCUCCAAGGCAGUGAGGUGAGAGCCAAGGUCACAGGGAACAUCCUUCCCACUCCUUUUCCUACACCCACCUUCAGUCUGUGACUCCAAAAUCUGACCAUUUCCCAGCUACUACCCUGGUCCAAGCUGCCAGUGUCUUACCUGGAUCACUACACUUGCUUCCUUGACGGAAGGCUUCCAACUUCCUGACUGUCCAUUCAGAAUGCCACCACAGAGGGAUCCCGUGAAAACGUGAGCCUGCUCCCCAUCACUCAAGGUACCUAACCACCUGCCCUGGUUGCCUCUUCAGUCAUGUCUGUUUGCUCAUAUCCAGCCUAUGCGCUUCUUAGCUGUUUCUCAAAUAUGCCUGGCACACGUCAACCCCAGGACAUUUGUGCUUGCUAUUCUCUUUGCCCAGACAUCCACAUGGAUUCUUCACAUAUUCCAGGCCUCUGCCCAAAGGUCACCUUUCCUGAGAGCCUUCCUGGACCACCUCAUGGUGAAGGCCAAACCAGCUGUGGGUGACAGCUAGAGUGCAGAUUGACCCUACAGACCCUGUAGGCACUCCAAAGACAAAGACAGAGAGACAGGGAGAGAGAGAAACAGCCAUGAUGCAUGUAAACAGGGCUGGGUUUUGCCCCCACUGCCCACUGUGCACCCUCAGUACAGGUAUGGCCAGCCUGCAAGCCUGGGAAAAAACACAGUUGCUGCUUCUUCCAAGCCCUGGCAAAGGGAGAGAAGAUGACCAUAGCAGUGGGCAUGACCCAUAGCACAUCUUAAGGCUUGCUAGCAAGAACAUUGGGAAAUGUGAGACAGACUUUCCGUGUUCUCCAUACCAUAGGAGCAACACGACUCCUAGACAUGUAGGCACAUGAAAACACAUCCACACAGAGACUUGUACACUAAUGUUCAUGGUGGCCUCAAAAGUUGAAACAACCCAAGUGCCAGUCAAUUGAUGAAUGGACAAAUAGUGGUCUAUCCCUACAGAGGAAUAUUAUUUGGCCAUAAAAAAGGAGUGAAGUACAGAUACAUGCCAAAACAUGGAAAAGCAGAUUAGUGGUAAGUAGUUUUUAGUAUAUUCACAGGGUUGUGCAACCAUUACCAUAAUCUAAGUUUAGAAGAUCUAAAGUUUGCAUCACCUCCCCCAAACCCUGUAUCCAUUAGCAGACACUCUCCACUCUCUGUCCCCCCAGCCCCUGGCAACUACUGAUAUGCCUUCUGUCUUUACUGUGGAUGUUUCAUACAUGGAACCAUACACUCUGUGUGGUCCAUUCAUGUUGAAAGCAAAAUAGGGCAGGACCUUGUGGCUCUUCUGGCCAUGUCCUCCACCUGCCCCCUCACCUUUUUUUUUUGCUUUUUAGGCCCAUGCCCAUGAUGUAUGGAAGUUCCCAGGCUAGGGCUUGAAUCACAGCUAUAGCUGCUGGCCUACACCACAGCCACAGUAAAGUGGGAUCCAAGCCACAUCUGUGACCUACACCAUAGCUCACAGCGAUGCCGGAUCCUUAACCCACUGAGCGAGGCCAGGGAUAGAACCCACAGCCUCAUGGAUACUAGUCGGGUUCCUUAACCGCUGAGCCACGAAGGGAACUCCUCCACCUGCCUUUGUCUGUGGAUAAACUUUAGCCAAAGAAUAAGUUUUAUCAGAGGAGUGGAAAAAUGCAGACGCAAAGGAAAACAGUUAAACAAGACAAAAUAAUAAUCGUUUAAUCAUUAAGCAAAGUCAAGGCCCUUUAGCUCCAUCUCAAGGGCUGUAGAUCGUAUUCUGAGCCACAUCCUGUGAGCUGUCACAUAGAUACUGAAACCCCUACCAGGUGGAAGAAGUUAACGACAUGAUGACCAGACUGUGGCCGUGACAUCAGCUGCCACAAUCCUGAGAACUGGCCUCAGGGAAAUGGGAACAAACCUACCCAGAACUGAAGACGAACUGUACUUAAAUCAAGGUGACACUGGUCAGACCACCCAUGACCAAUUUCAAGAUGACUGUCAGAGCUGACUGUGUUGUUCUGCGUGUAGCCCCCUCCUUCAGCCUAUAAAAGCCCUUGCCCACUGAUUUGCAGUUGGGGGAGGCAGCCUUUGGACACCAGCUGCCCCACCCCCACCCCAGGGUUGCCUCCCUCUGAAAUAAAGCAAAUUUUCCUUUUCAUCAACCUUCUCUCUUUAUUGGCUUUAGAGCUACAGCAGCUGGACCCACUUGCUGGUAACAGUUUUUUGGCGCCCAUGUGGGACUGCAUUGUCACGAGAUCUGGCUCCCAGGGUUUUCCCAAGUAGAGCUGUCCGCCAUGUUGCCACUCGGGGGUGGCUGCGAUGAGCCUGCUGCUCGUGGCUCCUGGCCCCAAGGCAGAGAUUUGGGAGGAAUGUUCCUCACAGCUGCCGAAACAGUUCGUUUUGGGGAUCCUCCUUGUUUUUCUCCUGCUCGGCACUGGCUGCCAACUUACACUUGUCCUCGGUAGAACAGGAAGAUUCAUCUGGUCAAACUGACAAGCCCCAAGACGGAGUAAGUCCACCCCUGUGCACCCUGAAAACUUCUCUCUGGAGCACGAGGUGCUAUUUGGGCAUUUUCCCAAUUGAUUCUGACAUGUGUCUACCACUGAGGACUGAUGGUGAGCACUGCUCUGAGGUUUAGAUUUGAACUUUUGGGCUUAUUUUUGAGUAUGGUGCAAGGUAAGAGCUAGAAUUCAUUUUUUUUCCCUUAAAGAUAGUUAAUUGUUAUGUUUAAAAAGCAAUAUUUUCCCAUAUUGAAAUACUUUGGUACCUUUGUAAAAAAUCAGUUAGCCAUAUAACUGUUGGUCUAUCUUUGCACUCUCUUUCCUUUUUCAUGGAGAUUUACCUUUAUAAAGGUAAAUGUAAGGUUUACACUUACACCAGUAUUACACUGUCUUGAUUGAUACUACUUUAUAGAAAGUCUUAAAAUCACAUGGUGUGGAGUUCCUGUCGUGGCUCAGUGGUUAACGAAUCUGACUAGAAACCAUGAUGUUGUGGGUUCGAUCCCUGGCCUCACUCAGUUGGUUAAAGAUCCGGUAUUGCUGUGAGCUGUGGUGUAAGUCGCAGACACGGCUCAGAUCUGCCAUUGCUGUGGCUCUGGCGUAGGCCUGCGGCUAGAGCUCUGAUUAGACCAUCUUGUCUGGGAACCUCCACAUGCCACAGGUGUGGCCCUAG